This 595-nucleotide ribosomal RNA is filed under the name uncultured bacterium. RNAcentral's name for it is "bacterial SSU rRNA". It matches the Rfam family "Bacterial small subunit ribosomal RNA", at positions 338 to 949 of the family's 1533-position model. The record is from RNAcentral.
CCUACGGGAGGCAGCAGUGGGGAAUAUUGGACAAUGGGCGAAAGCCUGAUCCAGCAAUGCCGCGUGAGUGAUGAAGGCCUUAGGGUUGUAAAGCUCUUUUACCAGGGAUGAUAAUGACAGUACCUGGAGAAUAAGCUCCGGCUAACUCCGUGCCAGCAGCCGCGGUAAUACGGAGGGAGCUAGCGUUGUUCGGAAUUACUGGGCGUAAAGCGUGCGUAGGCGGUGAUUCAAGUCAGAGGUGAAAGCCUGGAGCUCAACUCCAGAACGGCCUUUGAAACUAGAUCGCUAGAAUUAUGGAGAGGUAAGUGGAAUUCCGAGUGUAGAGGUGAAAUUCGUAGAUAUUCGGAAGAACACCAGUGGCGAAGGCGACUUACUGGACAUAUAUUGACGCUGAGGUACGAAAGCGUGGGGAGCAAACAGGAUUAGAUACCCUGGUAGUCCACGCCGUAAACGAUGAUAACUAGCUGUUUGGGCUCUCAGAGCUUGAGUGGCGCAGCUAACGCAUUAAGUUAUCCGCCUGGGGAGUACGGUCGCAAGNUUAAAACUCAAAGAUAGUAGACGNGAGAGAGCGACGACGACGACGACGGAGGAGGAG